Molecule: ribosomal RNA, 1250 nt
Filed under: metagenome
Description: bacterial LSU rRNA
Rfam family: Bacterial large subunit ribosomal RNA
Source: RNAcentral
UAUACGACCGUACCGCAAACCGACACUGGUGCGCGAGAUGAGUAUUCUAAGGCGCUUGAGAGAACUCAGGAGAAGGAACUCGGCAAAUUGACACCGUAACUUCGGAAGAAGGUGUGCCCUAUUAGUGUGUAGUGAACAACGAAGCAUGAAUGGGUUGCAAAAAAUCGGUGGCUGCGACUGUUUAUUAAAAACACAGCACUCUGCAAACACGAAAGUGGACGUAUAGGGUGUGACGCCUGCCCGGUGCUGGAAGAUUAAAUGAUGGGGUGCAAGCUCUUGAUUGAAGUCCCAGUAAACGGCGGCCGUAACAAUAACGGUCCUAAGGUAGCGAAAUUCCUUGUCGGGUAAGUUCCGACCUGCACGAAUGGCGUAACGAUGGCCACACUGUCUCCUCCUGAGACUCAGCGAAGUUGAAAUGUUUGUGAUGAUGCAAUCUCCCCGCGGAAAGACGGAAAGACCCCAUGAACCUUUACUGUAGCUUUGUAUUGGACUUUGAACAGAUCUGUGUAGGAUAGGUGGGAGGCUUUGAAGCAGGGUCGCUAGAUCUUGUGGAGCCAACGUUGAAAUACCACCCUGGUGUGUUUGAGGUUCUAACCUAGGUCCAUUAUCUGGAUCGGGGACAGUGCAUGGUAGGCAGUUUGACUGGGGCGGUCUCCUCCCAAAGCGUAACGGAGGAGUUCGAAGGUACGCUAGUUACGGUCGGACAUCGUGACGAUAGUGCAAUGGCAUAAGCGUGCUUAACUGCGAGACUGACAAGUCGAGCAGAUGCGAAAGCAGGACAUAGUGAUCCGGUGGUUCUGUAUGGAAGGGCCAUCGCUCAACGGAUAAAAGGUACUCUGGGGAUAACAGGCUGAUACCGCCCAAGAGUUCAUAUCGACGGCGGUGUUUGGCACCUCGAUGUCGGCUCAUCUCAUCCUGGGGCUGUAGCCGGUCCCAAGGGUAUGGCUGUUCGCCAUUUAAAGAGGUACGUGAGCUGGGUUUAAAACGUCGUGAGACAGUUUGGUCCCUAUCUUCCGUGGGCGCUGCAGAUUUGAGGAAGCCUGCUCCUAGUACGAGAGGACCGGAGUGGACACACCUCUGGUGUAUCGGUUGUCACGCCAGUGGCAUUGCCGAGUAGCUAAGUGUGGAAGAGAUAACCGCUGAAAGCAUCUAAGCGGGAAACUCGUUUCAAGAUGAGAUCUGCCGGGGCCUUGAGCCCCCUAAAGAGUCGUUCAAGACCAGGACGUUGAUAGGUCAGGUGUGGAAGCCAA